This is a long non-coding RNA of Hibiscus syriacus, 518 nucleotides long. RefSeq lists it as uncharacterized. The transcript is spliced from 3 exons. Lineage: Eukaryota; Viridiplantae; Streptophyta; Magnoliopsida; Malvales; Malvaceae. The record is from RefSeq and is a predicted model, not a curated record.
CUUGUUCAUGGAUGAGGAGUAGAUAUGAAACUCGGGUAUUGUGCACAGGUAAGAUUCGCUUGAUGCUAUUUUUGCACCUGCUUAGUUAACCACGUUCAUUUCCCUUUCGUUUCUAAUAAACAUAUAUUUCAUCAUGCAACUUAGAAAUAAAAUAUUUAUUACUGUUAUGUAUGUUAUUACAGGGCGAUCGCUCGAAGAAGGUGGCCGUGGUUGAUAGCGAAUACAUUGUUCAUAAGGGUAUACAAAGUUUGGGGGUAGUGGGCAUCCCAUAAUGAGGACAACCAUAAAGAGACACAGGCUUCAAGUUUCGAUCUACGAACUGAGAUUCGGAGGCAGUCGAUAUGGGAACUUAAAGUGUUCAAAGAACGAUGGAAUCAAGCUGUGGAGGAAGACAAGAACUGGGUGGAUCCAUUUCUAAGUAUCAAAGGCGCAGCAGACUACAACAAAAACGACUAGACAACUAGGUUUCUAGCCAUGGUCGGAUAGUGGUGAAUAAUGGGUAUAUGUUACUUAUAACA